CCUACGGGAGGCAGCAGUAGGGAAUCUUCCACAAUGGGCGAAAGCCUGAUGGAGCAACGCCGCGUGGGUGAAGAAGGUCUUCGGAUCGUAAAACCCUGUUGUUAGAGAAGAAAGUGCGUGAGAGUAACUGUUCACGUUUCGACGGUAUCUAACCAGAAAGCCACGGCUAACUACGUGCCAGCAGCCGCGGUAAUACGUAGGUGGCAAGCGUUAUCCGGAUUUAUUGGGCCUAAAGGGAACGCAGUCGGUCUUUUAAGUCUGAUGUGAAAGCCUUCGGCUUAACCGGAGUAGUGCAUUGGAAACUGGGAGACGUGAGUGCAGAAGAGGAGAGUGGAACUCCAUGUGUAGCGGUGAAAUGCGUAGAUAUAUGGAAGAACACCAGUGGCGAAAGCGGCUCUCUGGUCUGUAACUGACGCUGAGGUUCGAAAGCGUGGGUAGCAAACAGGAUUAGAUACCCUUGAAGUC
Molecule: ribosomal RNA, 465 nt
Filed under: uncultured bacterium
Lineage: Bacteria
Description: partial 16S ribosomal RNA
Rfam family: Bacterial small subunit ribosomal RNA
Source: RNAcentral